This 133-nucleotide small nuclear RNA is filed under the name Tupaia belangeri (northern tree shrew). RNAcentral's name for it is "U4 spliceosomal RNA (ENSTBEG00000019018.1)". It matches the Rfam family "U4 spliceosomal RNA". Rfam says of the family: U4 small nuclear RNA (U4 snRNA) is a component of the major U2-dependent spliceosome. The structure of U4 snRNA from yeast and human has been reported. The record is from RNAcentral. Lineage: Eukaryota; Metazoa; Chordata; Mammalia; Scandentia; Tupaiidae.
AGCUUUGCGCAGUGGCAGUAUCGUAGCCAAUGAGGUUUAUCCGAGGCGCGAUUAUUGCUAAUUGAUUAUUGCUAAUUGAAAACCCAGAUAAACAUGCAAAAGAGGCAAAUGAGUGUGUGCAUGUAAUUAAUUA